RNAcentral lists this ribosomal RNA (253 nucleotides) under uncultured bacterium. RNAcentral describes it as "partial 16S ribosomal RNA". It matches the Rfam family "Bacterial small subunit ribosomal RNA", at positions 524 to 776 of the family's 1533-position model. The record is from RNAcentral.
UACAGGGGGUGCAAGCGUUAAUCGGAAUUACUGGGCGUAAAGCGUGCGUAGACGGUUACAUAAGUCAGGUGUGAAAGCCCCGGGCUCAACCUGGGAAUUGCAUUUGAGACUGUGUAGCUAGGGUGCGGAAGAGGGAAGCGGAAUUCCCAGUGUAGAGGUGAAAUUCGUAGAUAUUGGGAAGAACACCGAUGGCGAAGGCAGCCAUCUGGACCGACACUGACGCUGAGGCGCGAAAGCGUGGGGAGCGAACAGG